RNAcentral lists this non-coding RNA (23 nucleotides) under Gallus gallus (chicken). The record is from miRBase by way of RNAcentral. Lineage: Eukaryota; Metazoa; Chordata; Aves; Galliformes; Phasianidae.
UGAGCUGCUCUGUUCCUGCAUCC